GAUGAACGCUAGCGAUAGGCUUAACACAUGCAAGUCGAGGGGUAACGUGUUGGAAGCUUGCUUCCGAUGACGACGACCGGCGGAUGGGUGCGUAACGCGUAUGCAACUUGCCUCACAGUGGAGAAUAACCCGGAGAAAUCCGGACUAAUACUCCAUACACUCUUAGGUACACCUGUGUUUGAGAGGAAAGAUUUAUCGCUGUGAGAUAGGCAUGCGUCCUAUUAGGUAGUUGGUGAGGUAACGGCUCACCAAGCCGACGAUAGGUAGGGGUGCUGAGAGGCAGAUCCCCCACAUUGGGACUGAGACACGGCCCAAACUCCUACGGGAGGCAGCAGUGAGGAAUAUUGGUCAAUGGAGGAAACUCUGAACCAGCCAAGUCGCGUGAAGGAAGAAUGUCCUAAGGAUUGUAAACUUCUUUAGCGAGCGAGUAAGGACUUCCACGUGAUGGGAGUUUGAAAGUAGCUCGAGAAUAAGUAUCGGCUAACUCCGUGCCAGCAGCCGCGGUAAUACGGAGGAUACGAGCGUUAUCCGGAUUUAUUGGGUUUAAAGGGUGCGCAGGUGGUCUUGCAAGUCAGUGGUGAAAAGCUGAGGCUCAACCUCAGCCUUGCCGUUGAAACUGCAAGACUUGAGAGUACAUGAUGUGGGCGGAAUGCGUAGUGUAGCGGUGAAAUGCAUAGAUAUUACGCAGAACUCCGAUUGCGAAGGCAGCUCACAAAGGUAUAUCUGACACUGAGGCACGAAAGCGUGGGGAGCGAACAGGAUUAGAUACCCUGGUAGUCCACGCCGUAAACGAUGAUUACUCGAAGUAUGCGAUAUGACAGUAUGCUUCCAAGCGAAAGUGAUAAGUAAUCCACCUGGGAGUACGCCGGCAACGGUGAAACUCAAAGGAAUUGACGGGGGCCCGCACAAGCGGAGGAACAUGUGGUUUAAUUCGAUGAUACGCGAGGAACCUUACCCGGGAUUGAAAUGUAUGUGAGCCUUUUGGGAAACCGAGAGGGUUCUCUUCGGAGACACAUAUGUAGGUGCUGCAUGGUUGUCGUCAGCUCGUGCCGUGAGGUGUCGGCUUAAGUGCCAUAACGAGCGCAACCCUUAUCGUCAGUUACUAACAGGUAGCGCUGAGGACUCUGGCGAGACUGCCGUCGUAAGGCGAGAGGAAGGUGGGGAUGACGUCAAAUCAGCACGGCCCUUACAUCCGGGGCGACACACGUGUUACAAUGGUAGGGACAGAGAGUAGCCACUCGGUGACGAGGAGCGGAUCUUGAAACCCUAUCUCAGUUCGGAUCGGAGUCUGCAACUCGACUCCGUGAAGCCGGAUUCGCUAGUAAUCGCGCAUCAGCCAUGGCGCGGUGAAUACGUUCCCGGGCCU
Molecule: ribosomal RNA, 1366 nt
Filed under: uncultured bacterium
Lineage: Bacteria
Description: bacterial SSU rRNA
Rfam family: Bacterial small subunit ribosomal RNA
Source: RNAcentral